Pezoporus occidentalis (night parrot) is the source of this 2519-nucleotide long non-coding RNA. RefSeq lists it as uncharacterized. NCBI's taxonomy places the organism in Eukaryota, Metazoa, Chordata, Aves, Psittaciformes, Psittacidae. The transcript is spliced from 2 exons. The record is from RefSeq and is a predicted model, not a curated record.
AUGAAAAAAAUACGUCUUUAAAUUGCAGAUAUUUAACGUUUUCUUAGAAACUAUUUUAAUAUUACAGUGACAUUUUGAAACAGGUCAAAGAGAAGGGUUUAUAAUCUUUUCAGGAAAAGAAAGUUUUAUCUCCCUUGAGACAGUGCAUAUGGUGAAUAAAACCUGUCCUGUCAUGUGUAGAUUUUCACUUAUACAAUUAAAUAGAAAUGGAGCAUUUAGAGAAGUAGUAAAAGUAACUUCGUAAGGAAAAUCUUUUAUUUCUGUAAGUAUUUAUAGAUGUAGGAGAACUUACCUGUUUUAAAACAUUUUCUUUUUAUCAUCUCUUGCUAUGUUACAGACAAUAGUCUGCAAAUAGCAGAAAGAUCUAUUAUUAAUUUUCUAUUUUUCAAGACACUUUGGAACCUGUAGUCAAGAUCAGUAAUCUCACUUUGCUGCAAAUUGUCUGCUGCACAAAACCAUCAGGUUUUGUACAGCAGUUUCGCAAAUGAGAAGAUUUACAUCUCCUUAACUGAAGAUACUUUGCUAAAAGUAGAUAUGUGGGAAUAUUUCUUUUCAAAAGGAAGAACUUCAGUCUAAAAGCUAGGAAAAAAGCUAAAACAUAACACUGUGUGCAAGGUUGACUUUGUGUGGUCUUUUCACUUGUAUCUAGAAUACUGACUGUUUUAUUUCCACAUGUGCUGGUGUUUUUUUAAAAAUGCAUUGGUGCAAUUCCAGAUAACAUAAUUACUUAGUAAUUCAAAGUCUUGUGAAUUUUAUAAGUAGAGUGUUUCAGUUGGAAGGGGCCUACAGUGAUCAUCUAGCCCAUCUGCCUGACCACUUCAAGGCUGACCAAAAGUUACAGCAUGUUAUUUAGGGCAUUGUCCAAAUGCCACUUAAACACCAGCAGGCUUGGGUCAUUGACCACCUCUUUAGGAAGCCUGUUCAAGGGUUUGACCACCCUCUCAGUAAAGAAAUGCUUCUCAGUGUUCCAUCUAAACCUCCCAUAGUGCAGCAUUUAACCAUUUUCAUGUAUCCUAUCACUGGAUACCUGGGAGAAAAGCUCAGCACCUCUGUCUCCACUUCCCCUCCUCAGGAAGCUGUAGAGAGCAGUCAUAUAUGCCAGUCAUUUGCUAGGAUCUGGGAGUGAGAAAUUGCUAUUCUUCUUCUGAGGAAAAGAAUCACAGUGAUUUUGUUCCUUCAUUAAGACAUUUUUAUUUUAUUCAUAUUUGUUCUUUCCAGUAUCUCUAUUAAAUCUCUGUACCUCUCCUCCCAGAUAGUGGAUAUUUUUGUUGUGGGGUUUUUUUUCUUCCUUAUUUCCUUCUCCAUCUAUUGCCUUUCAUAUAAUUUCACUAAUUUACAAUGAUGGUCUGGAUUGAUUGCUUUUCUCUUCCUGGCUUUAGGGACAGUUUUGUUCAUCUGUAUCUUGGAGAUACAUGUUACCUGAUGCAUGUUUCAGGUCAUUUCUAAAAUGAGUAAUAUUAGGUUGCAGUUGUUCACAUCAAAAUGCUUGAAGAGUCCAUGAAGAAUCUUAAAGGAUUCUUUAGGAAGGCUGAGCAGAAAAAAGAGGGAUUUUAAAGUAUUAAAGAAGAUGCUAUUUUUUUUUUACCAAAUGGCAGUGUAAAAGAUGCUGCAAAUCAGGAAUCAUCUAUUGCGACUGAGAAGAAAAACACUUUAGAGUUGUCUUGAUUGGAGGACAAGGUCUUCUGCAAUACUCUAGCUAUUUGCAUUCAAUUUAAGAUACUGGCUGCCAUCUAGGAAACUGUCAUGCAUAACUAACUACAGCGCAAAGGUCUUCAGGCUGAUAGGUCAGCUCAGCCUUUGAUAUUUCUGCUGAGGUCCUGCGCAGCAUUGCAUUUGAACUAGUUAAGGGGUGCUGCUACCUAAUUCAGCCAGUUCAUUUGGGCGUGCCUGAAAAUCCCUUUCUGGGCUUGCACAAAGCUUGUGUGGGGCUGUCUGCAUAUAUAGUGUAGACAUGCCAUUAAAGUUAUGUUAAUACGCCUUCUGGUGGUAAUGUGUGUUGAGUAAAAUAAUUCUGAGCUAGCUUUUUGCUCAUCAAGGUGCGAUCUUCAAAUAUGAAUAUCCAGAACGCAUUUAGAAAAAAAUCUCAUGGUUUUUGAUCUCAGACUGUCUCACAAAGCUGUCUUAGUUGAAAAUUUUGAAAACUGUGCCGCAGCAGUGGGAAAGCACUUAAAAUAAAAUUCUUAAAUAACAUUUUGAAUUAUUACAUGAUACCUGAAUUUUUCCAUAACUCUGUCUAUGAACUAUUAGUGCUGACAGAAAGAACCAUAUACUGUGGGAAUGAAAAUCUGAAUUAUUAUCAGGUAUUUUUUGCAUAAGAAAUCCCAAAAUAGUUUGUAAUAUGAAUGGGAAUAUUACUUGGUUACUCUCAGCAUGCUCCCUUUCCCAAUCCCCUGCUCUGAAAAGCCUAGUAAAAAUUUCAGUAGAAGAGGCAGAAAAGUUAACAGAUACGUAGUACUUUGGACCUGUUUGGACAGAACUACCAGCUUCAUCUUGUCUGAAUGGGGAAACAAAACAUAUGU